This 446-nucleotide unclassified non-coding RNA is filed under the name Hevea brasiliensis (rubber tree). The record is from RNAcentral. Lineage: Eukaryota; Viridiplantae; Streptophyta; Magnoliopsida; Malpighiales; Euphorbiaceae.
GUGGCAUCAAAUACCUGUAAACCCCAAUAGAGCAAAAGACCUUUCACCUCCCUCCUGCAAAAUCCCUCUGAAUCGCAAUCUCACUGACCCACCUCAGAUAAAAACUCAAGAAACAAUAGCAUCAAACAUCUGACAAAACCAAUAUAGCAAAAAAGAGCUAAAAAACCCACAAAAGAUCAAGUCUUUGCUGCAUUUACCACCAACCCCAACUGCAAACUUCUCAAAAAAACACCUCCCAAAAUAUCUAAAUCACAAACUUCACAACAACAAUCUCACUUGACCCACCUCAGAUUUUUCAUCCUACAACUCAAAAACAGUGGCAUCAGACACACUUCACAAAACUUUAAAAUAGACAAAAUAAAGAACUCAGCUUUAACACAAAAACCAACUAACCGAAUCAAGAAGUAGUCAAUUCAAGAAGGCAACUUUCCAACAAAAAAACAAAA